This 253-nucleotide ribosomal RNA is filed under the name uncultured bacterium. RNAcentral's name for it is "partial 16S ribosomal RNA". It matches the Rfam family "Bacterial small subunit ribosomal RNA", at positions 524 to 776 of the family's 1533-position model. The record is from RNAcentral.
UACGGAGGGUGCAAGCGUUAUCCGGAUUUAUUGGGCUUAAAGGGCGCGUAGGCGGUCUAUUAAGUCAGUGGUGAAAGCCCCAAGCCUAACUUGGGAACUGCCAUUGAUACUGAUGGUCUUGAGUACAUUUGAGGUGGGCGGAAUGUGUCAUGUAGCGGUGAAAUGCUUAGAUAUGACACAGAACACCGAUUGCGAAGGCAGCUCACUAAACUGUAACUGACGCUGAGGCACGAAAGCGUGGGGAGCAAACAGG